GAUGAACGCUGGCGGCGUGCCUAAUACAUGCAAGUCGAGCGAACAGACGAGGAGCCUGCUCCUCUGACGUUAGCGGCGGACGGGUGAGUAACACGUGGAUAACCUACCUAUAAGACUGGGAUAACUUCGGGAAACCGGAGCUAAUACCGGAUAAUAUAUUGAACCGCAUGGUUCAAUAGUGAAAGACGGUUUUGCUGUCACUUAUAGAUGGAUCCGCGCCGCAUUAGCUAGUUGGUAAGGUAACGGCUUACCAAGGCAACGAUGCGUAGCCGACCUGAGAGGGGGAUCGGCCAAACUGGAACUGAGAAAGGGUCCAGACUCCUAGGGGAGGCAGCAGUAGGGAAUUUUCCGCAAUGGGCGAAAGUUUGACGGAGCAACGCCGCGUGAGUGAUGAAGGUCUUCGGAUCGUAAAACUCUGUUAUUAGGGAAGAACAAAUGUGUAAGUAACUAUGCACGUUUUGACGGUACCUAAUCAGAAAGCCACGGCUAACUACGU
Molecule: ribosomal RNA, 496 nt
Filed under: uncultured bacterium
Lineage: Bacteria
Description: partial 16S ribosomal RNA
Rfam family: Bacterial small subunit ribosomal RNA
Source: RNAcentral